GAUGAAGAACGCAGCGAAAUGCGAUAAGUAAUGUGAAUUGCAGAAUUCAGUGAAUCAUCGAAUCUUUGAACGCACAAUGCGCCCGCCAGCACUCUGGCGGGCAUGCCUGUUCGAGCGUCAUUUCAACCAUCAAGCCCCCAGGGGCUUGUGCUGGGGCCCUGCGGCUGCCCGCAGGCCCUGAAAACCAGUGGCGGGCUCGCUAGUCACACCGAGCGCAGUAGCACAUCUCGCUCAGGGCGUGCGGCGGGCUCCUGCCGUGAAACCCCCCACUGUAACCCCAAAGGUUGACCUCGGAUCAGGUAGGAAUACCCGCUGAACUUAAGCAUAUCAAUAAGCGGAGGA
This 342-nucleotide unclassified non-coding RNA is filed under the name soil metagenome. Its description in RNAcentral is "partial contains 5.8S ribosomal RNA, internal transcribed spacer 2, and large subunit ribosomal RNA". The stretch from base 1 to 120 matches the Rfam family "5.8S ribosomal RNA", at positions 35 to 154 of the family's 154-position model. The record is from RNAcentral.